This 1485-nucleotide ribosomal RNA is filed under the name uncultured Actinomycetes bacterium. RNAcentral's name for it is "bacterial SSU rRNA". It matches the Rfam family "Bacterial small subunit ribosomal RNA". Lineage: Bacteria; Bacillati; Actinomycetota; Actinomycetes. The record is from RNAcentral.
AGGGUUUGAUCAUGGCUCAGGACGAACGCUGGCGGCGUGCUUAACACAUGCAAGUCGAACGGAAAGGCCCUGCUUUUGUGGGGUGCUCGAGUGGCGAACGGGUGAGUAACACGUGAGUAACCUGCCCUUGACUUUGGGAUAACUUCAGGAAACUGGGGCUAAUACCGGAUAGGAGCUCCUGCUGCAUGGUGGGGGUUGGAAAGUUUCGGCGGUUGGGGAUGGACUCGCGGCUUAUCAGCUUGUUGGUGGGGUAGUGGCUUACCAAGGCUUUGACGGGUAGCCGGCCUGAGAGGGUGACCGGCCACAUUGGGACUGAGAUACGGCCCAGACUCCUACGGGAGGCAGCAGUGGGGAAUAUUGCACAAUGGGCGGAAGCCUGAUGCAGCAACGCCGCGUGCGGGAUGACGGCCUUCGGGUUGUAAACCGCUUUCGCCUGUGACGAAGCGUGAGUGACGGUAAUGGGUAAAGAAGCACCGGCUAACUACGUGCCAGCAGCCGCGGUGAUACGUAGGGUGCGAGCGUUGUCCGGAUUUAUUGGGCGUAAAGGGCUCGUAGGUGGUUGAUCGCGUCGGAAGUGUAAUCUUGGGGCUUAACCCUGAGCGUGCUUUCGAUACGGGUUGACUUGAGGAAGGUAGGGGAGAAUGGAAUUCCUGGUGGAGCGGUGGAAUGCGCAGAUAUCAGGAGGAACACCAGUGGCGAAGGCGGUUCUCUGGGCCUUUCCUGACGCUGAGAGCGAAAGCGUGGGGAGCGAACAGGCUUAGAUACCCUGGUAGUCCACGCUGUAAACGGUGGUACUAGGUGUGGGGUCCAUUCCACGGGUUCCGUGCCGUAGCUAACGCUUUAAGUACCCCGCCUGGGGAGUACGGCCGCAAGGCUAAAACUCAAAGGAAUUGACGGGGCCCCGCACAAGCGGCGGAGCAUGCGGAUUAAUUCGAUGCAACGCGUAGAACCUUACCUGGGUUUGACAUGGAUCGGGAGUGCUCAGAGAUGGGUGUGCCUCUUUUGGGGUCGGUUCACAGGUGGUGCAUGGCUGUCGUCAGCUCGUGUCGUGAGAUGUUGGGUUAAGUCCCGCAACGAGCGCAACCCUUGUUCACUGUUGCCAGCACGUUAUGGUGGGGACUCAGUGGAGACCGCCGGGGUCAACUCGGAGGAAGGUGGGGAUGACGUCAAGUCAUCAUGCCCCUUAUGUCCAGGGCUUCACGCAUGCUACAAUGGCUGGUACAGAGAGUGGCGAGCCUGUGAGGGUGAGCGAAUCUCGGAAAGCCGGUCUCAGUUCGGAUCGGGGUCUGCAACUCGACCUCAUGAAGUCGGAGUCGCUAGUAAUCGCAGAUCAGCAACGCUGCGGUGAAUACGUUCCCGGGGCUUGUACACACCGCCCGUCAAGUCAUGAAAGUUGGUAACACCCGAAGCCGGUGGCCUAACCGUUGUGGGGGAGCCGUCGAAGGUGGGACUGGUGAUUAGGACUAAGUCGUAACAAGGUAGCCC